AGAGGCUGAUCUUUCCCUUCCUGAUAUUGAGAGGAACGGUUAUAUAUUCUCUGAUGGUAUUGGUAUUAUAACUCCAGAUCUUGCCAAGGAAGUUGCAGAAAAGUUGAAAUUAGAUGCUAAUCCACCAUGCGCUUACCAGAUUAGGUAUGCAGGAUGUAAAGGGGUUGUGGCUUGCUGGCCAGCACAGGGUGAUGGGAUUCGCCUGUCUUUGAGGCCCAGUAUGAACAAGUUCCUGUCAAAC
This 241-nucleotide unclassified non-coding RNA is filed under the name Hevea brasiliensis (rubber tree). The record is from RNAcentral. Lineage: Eukaryota; Viridiplantae; Streptophyta; Magnoliopsida; Malpighiales; Euphorbiaceae.